Molecule: ribosomal RNA, 253 nt
Filed under: uncultured bacterium
Lineage: Bacteria
Description: partial 16S ribosomal RNA
Rfam family: Bacterial small subunit ribosomal RNA
Source: RNAcentral
UACGUAGGUGGCGAGCGUUGUCCGGAAUUACUGGGUGUAAAGGGCGCGUAGGCGGGAAUGCAAGUCAGAUGUGAAAUACCAAGGCUUAACUUUGGAACUGCAUCUGAAACUGUGUUUCUUGAGUGUCGGAGAGGAAAGCGGAAUUCCCCGUGUAGCGGUGAAAUGCGUAGAUAUGGGGAGGAACACCGGUGGCGAAGGCGGCUUUCUGGACGAUAACUGACGCUGAGGCGCGAAAGCGUGGGUAGCAAACAGG